RNAcentral lists this ribosomal RNA (426 nucleotides) under uncultured bacterium. RNAcentral describes it as "bacterial SSU rRNA". It matches the Rfam family "Bacterial small subunit ribosomal RNA", at positions 356 to 774 of the family's 1533-position model. The record is from RNAcentral.
GGGGAAUUUUGGACAAUGGGCGAAAGCCUGAUCCAGCAAUGCCGCGUGCAGGAUGAAGGCCUUCGGGUUGUAAACUGCUUCUGUACGGAACGAAAAAGCUUCUCCUAAUACGAGAGGCCCAUGACGGUACCGUAAGAAUAAGCACCGGCUAACUACGUGCCAGCAGCCGCGGUAAUACGUAGGGUGCGAGCGUUAAUCGGAAUUACUGGGCGUAAAGCGUGCGCAGGCGGUUAUGUAAGACAGAUGUGAAAUCCCCGGGCUCAACCUGGGAACUGCAUUUGUGACUGCAUGGCUAGAGUACGGUAGAGGGGGAUGGAAUUCCGCGUGUAGCAGUGAAAUGCGUAGAUAUGCGGAGGAACACCGAUGGCGAAGGCAGUCACUUGGUCCAUUACUGACGCUAAAGCACGAAAGCGUGGGUAGCAAACA